AUUGAACGCUGGCGGCAUGCCUUACACAUGCAAGUCGAACGGCAGCGGACCUUCGGGUGCCGGCGAGUGGCGAACGGGUGAGUAAUAUAUCGGAACGUACCUUUCAGUGGGGGAUAACGUAGCGAAAGUUACGCUAAUACCGCAUAUUCUGUGAGCAGGAAAGCAGGGGAUCGCAAGACCUUGCGCUGAUUGAGCGGCCGAUAUCAGAUUAGCUAGUUGGUGAGGUAAAGGCUCACCAAGGCAACGAUCGGUAGCUGGUCUGAGAGGACGAUCAGCCACACUGGAACUGAGACACGGUCCAGACUCCUACGGGAGGCAGCAGUGGGGAAUAUUGGACAAUGGGCGCAAGCCUGAUCCAGCAAUGCCGCGUGUGUGAAGAAGGCCUGCGGGUUGUAAAGCACUUUAAGCAGGAAAGAAGGACUUCAGGGUUAAUACCCUUGGGAUUGACGUUACCUGCAGAAUAAGA
Molecule: ribosomal RNA, 466 nt
Filed under: uncultured bacterium
Lineage: Bacteria
Description: bacterial SSU rRNA
Rfam family: Bacterial small subunit ribosomal RNA
Source: RNAcentral